CGCAUCUUGCGCUCUCGGGUUAUUCCUGAGAGCAUGCUUGUUGGAGCUGUCGUCGAAACUCCCAACCCCGUCCUUAUCUGUUUGGAUUAGGUUGUCUGGGUUUGGAUCAUGACCGUUGUCGAAUUCUUUUGAAUUGGACUGGGUUGAAAUACAUCAAGCUGAAUCAUAACGUGCGGCUUGACCUGUUGUUGUAAGCAUCCACUUUCAAUAGGAACGCAUGAUUUGAACGAGCUUUUCAAACGGAUGAACUCUGCUUUAGAGCUUUGGCUUUGAAACAGUGCAUUCCGACCUCCAAUCAAGUAGGACUACCCGCUGAACUUAA
RNAcentral lists this ribosomal RNA (322 nucleotides) under uncultured fungus. RNAcentral describes it as "eukaryotic LSU rRNA". Lineage: Eukaryota; Fungi. The record is from RNAcentral.